This 841-nucleotide ribosomal RNA is filed under the name uncultured bacterium. Its description in RNAcentral is "bacterial SSU rRNA". It matches the Rfam family "Bacterial small subunit ribosomal RNA", at positions 60 to 903 of the family's 1533-position model. The record is from RNAcentral.
AGUCGACGAACACUUUAACCUGAUUCUUCGGAUGAAGGUUUUUGUGACUGAGUGGCGGACGGGUGAGUAACGCGUGGGUAACCUGCCUCAUACAGGGGGAUAACAGUUAGAAAUGACUGCUAAUACCGCAUAAGACCACGGAGCCGCAUGGCUCGGUGGGAAAAACUCCGGUGGUAUGAGAUGGACCCGCGUCUGAUUAGGUAGUUGGUGGGGUAACGGCCUACCAAGCCAACGAUCAGUAGCCGACCUGAGAGGGUGACCGGCCACAUUGGGACUGAGACACGGCCCAAACUCCUACGGGAGGCAGCAGUGGGGAAUAUUGCACAAUGGGGGAAACCCUGAUGCAGCGACGCCGCGUGAGCGAAGAAGUAUUUCGGUAUGUAAAGCUCUAUCAGCAGGGAAGAAAAUGACGGUACCUGACUAAGAAGCACCGGCUAAAUACGUGCCAGCAGCCGCGGUAAUACGUAUGGUGCAAGCGUUAUCCGGAUUUACUGGGUGUAAAGGGAGCGUAGACGGCUGUGUAAGUCUGAAGUGAAAGCCCGGGGCUCAACCCCGGGACUGCUUUGGAAACUAUGCAGCUAGAGUGUCGGAGAGGUAAGUGGAAUUCCCAGUGUAGCGGUGAAAUGCGUAGAUAUUGGGAGGAACACCAGUGGCGAAGGCGGCUUACUGGACGAUGACUGACGUUGAGGCUCGAAAGCGUGGGGAGCAAACAGGAUUAGAUACCCUGGUAGUCCACGCCGUANACGAUGACUACUAGGUGUNGGGGAGCAAAGCUCUUCGGUGCCGCAGCAAACGCAAUAAGUAGUCCACCUGGGGAGUACGUUCGCAAGAAUGAAACUCA